Molecule: ribosomal RNA, 581 nt
Filed under: uncultured bacterium
Lineage: Bacteria
Description: partial 16S ribosomal RNA
Rfam family: Bacterial small subunit ribosomal RNA
Source: RNAcentral
UGGGGAAUUUUGGACAAUGGGCGCAAGCCUGAUCCAGCCAUGCCGCGUGCGGGAAGAAGGCCUUCGGGUUGUAAACCGCUUUUGUCAGGGAAGAAAUCUUCUGAGUUAAUACCUCGGGAGGAUGACGGUACCUGAAGAAUAAGCACCGGCUAACUACGUGCCAGCAGCCGCGGUAAUACGUAGGGUGCAAGCGUUAAUCGGAAUUACUGGGCGUAAAGCGUGCGCAGGCGGUUUUGUAAGACAGAGGUGAAAUCCCCGGGCUCAACCUGGGAACUGCCUUUGUGACUGCAAGGCUUGAGUGCGGCAGAGGGGGAUGGAAUUCCGCGUGUAGCAGUGAAAUGCGUAGAUAUGCGGAGGAACACCGAUGGCGAAGGCAAUCCCCUGGGCCUGCACUGACGCUCAUGCACGAAAGCGUGGGGAGCAAACAGGAUUAGAUACCCUGGUAGUCCACGCCCUAAACGAUGUCAACUGGUUGUUGGGAAGGUUCCUUCUCAGUAACGUAGCUAACGCGUGAAGUUGACCGCCUGGGGAGUACGGCCGCAAGGUUGAAACUAAAGGAAUUGACGGGGUCAUAGCUGUUU